AUGAACGCUGGCGGCGUGCCUAAUACAUGCAAGUCGAGCGAACAGACGAGGAGCUUGCUCCUCUGACGUUAGCGGCGGACGGGUGAGUAACACGUGGAUAACCUACCUAUAAGACUGGGAUAACUUCGGGAAACCGGAGCUAAUACCGGAUAACAUGUUGAACCGCAUGGUUCAACAGUGAAAGACGGUUUUGCUGUCACUUAUAGAUGGAUCCGCGUCGCAUUAGCUAGUUGGUAAGGUAACGGCUUACCAAGGCAACGAUGCGUAGCCGACCUGAGAGGGUGAUCGGCCACACUGGAACUGAGACACGGUCCAGACUCCUACGGGAGGCAGCAGUAGGGAAGCUUCCGCAAUGGGCGAAAGCCUGACGGAGCAACGCCGCGUGAGUGAAGAAGGUCUUCGGAUCGUAAAACUCUGUUAUUAGGGAAGAACAAAUGUGUAAGUAACUAUGCACGUCUUGACGGUACCUAAUCAGAAAGCCACGGCUAACUACGUG
Molecule: ribosomal RNA, 496 nt
Filed under: uncultured bacterium
Lineage: Bacteria
Description: partial 16S ribosomal RNA
Rfam family: Bacterial small subunit ribosomal RNA
Source: RNAcentral